UGGAAUAGGCCCUGGAGCCUGCUGGAGGCUCGUUGGAUCUGACGUGAAAUGGAAGAAUAUUGAGAAGCCUUUCCCUGCCUGAUGCCAGUUAGGGUCCUUAGAGCGGAAGGGCGCUGCACCGUGGCCACAUCUCAUCCUGGCUGCUGCGUGGCGCCAGGAGGCUGUGCACACUGUGUGAACUCCACACCAGCACAGUAGGGCCCUUCUAAGUUCCACCGAAGUUGGCUCUAAGCAAAUACAUGGUGUGAGCUCAACAAAAUGGGAAAUGUUGAUAAAUGAAGCUGCAUUUUCAUGCACUACCCUUGUUAUGCAACCAGUAGUGAUAAGGUGGUUUUGCUUUUGGUGUAAGUCUCAUGUUUGAAACUUGAUUUUUAGUCUGACCAAUGAUGUAUUUGGAUGUAGGAGAAACUGAUUCAAGACAAUUGACUAAUGGUGGAGGUUCACCUUUGAGCACCUUAUUGAUCACUUUAAAGAUUAAACACCAAAGUUUUAAUAUAUUUCUACUAAGGUUUCUUUUCCCUUUGUAUGAGAUGUAAAAUGAUACCCAGAUUCCUGUAUCCAAUAACAUUAUGCUGCUGGUUCGAUCAGCCUUGUAGAAAAUUUAAGGAAAACAAAUUCAUCGGUUUACAAAAAUCUUUUCCUGUGUGCCUGCUCCUCGGUGUGAGAACAGCCAGGGCAGAGCUGUGGUGCCAGGUUCCCAGCUGUGUCCAGGGUACACCCUGGCUGACCAGCUUCCUAUCCUAUUCCUUGUUUUGCGUGACUUUCAAUUUCCUGGCAUGCUUUUAAAAUGCGCUGCACACAAGCAAAUGGCUCCUCAGGCAAGCGAGGCCCAGCAGGCAGCGUGGCUGGACUUUCUGCUCCUCUUAGGCUUGGUCAGUGAGUCACUUGAUGGGACUGGUGUCUUGGGCAGGCUGCUGUCAUGUUUUGUAAACCUAAAAAUGUUUUUCUGUGUUUCUCCAGUUUGAAGAAGGUGAAGAAGGAGAAGAGGAGGAAUUAGAAGGUGACGAGGAGGGAGAAGACGAGGAUGAUGCGGAAAUUAACCCCAAGGUGUAAUUUUUGUCUGUUAAUCAUUCAUACGUUUCUAGAAGGAACCCAGCCAGCCGGCGGAAUGCAAGCAGCAGUAGGAAGCGGAGGCGGGUGCCUGGCAGACCGGCUGUCGGGACUCCAGGCCUGUGGGCGGGGCCUCGGUCCUUGCCGCAGCACAAUCCCGUGGACAGAGCUUACUCCAUCUAACUCGUUUUCAAGUGCAUGAUUUUCACUUUCACUUUUCCUUUUUCCUUAUUAUUUUGCUUAACUUGUACAGUGGCAACUGAAAUGCAUUUCAGAAAUAGGAGGUUUCGUCCAGCACCCUCUGCAGCCUUGGUGCCUGUAGCUCUGGACUUCCCUGGGCCUUUCCCUGUGGGAGGGCCCUGUAGACCACAUCAGGGUGGGGUGGGGGUCACUUGGCAAAAAGGGCCGAGGUCUGGUGAUGUGGUUCCCAGGAUCUGGAACCUCUCCCACCCCUCCUGCAGUUGGACUGAAUUCUUCCCUUUCAUCCGAAGAAACCCACUUGCUGUUUCCAGCCGCUGAAUCUGCUGAGUGUGCAGCCUGCAUCACCUGCUGUAUGCCGAUCAUCUCAGAAAGGGCUGUGUAGAGUAGGGCCCUGUUCUCCUUAGGAUGUUGCUUCUUGAUUUUUUUUUUUUUUUAGGGGUGGGUCAGGGUUGUGACACACCAGCCCAGGUGAGAGCUGCUGCGGGUCACCUCAUAUUUAUUUAUCCCUUCUUGCCUGUGAGGACUGCGGCUUUUCGCUGUGGCUCGUCCUUAACGUUUCUGAACCACCUUGGUGCCCUGAGCAGGAAGAUGUGCCACUUCCUAGCAGGCGCAAGGCCUGUGCGGAAGAAACGCCGCUCCCUGCCACCAGGGCUGAAGAUGCGAGCCCGUCCUCAUGACGCAGGCGCCACCCUGCUGCCGGAGCCGGGCUUCGGCAGUCUUCUCCACUGAGGGACUGGGCUGGGAAGUCCUGCGUUUCAGUGGAGCGUAUGAGCGUCAAGUCCUGCUUUCUCAGUAGCCCCAUUGCGGGGCCCCACCAUUCAUCCUGUCUGAAGGUCCUGGGUUUGGUGUGACCGCUUGGCGGCUGGUGGGUGGGGUUUUCAAGUGGGUGACGGCGCUCUCCGGCAGCCGGGGAUGGCCGUGUCCGCACUGACCAGGCCUGUGGAGAGUGCUCGGCCUAACCUUAGAACACAUUUGUAACUGAAUACAGUGUUUUCAAUUUGUACAGAAUAGUUAGAAUAUUCUAUUAAAGUGGUGAAACAUUG
This 2294-nucleotide long non-coding RNA is filed under the name Homo sapiens (human). Its description in RNAcentral is "non-protein coding lnc-NAP1L4-1:4". Lineage: Eukaryota; Metazoa; Chordata; Mammalia; Primates; Hominidae. The record is from RNAcentral.